CAGCACCCCGAGUGGUCGGGACGAUUAUUGGCCUAAAGCAUCCGUAGCCGGUUCUACAAGUCUUCCGUUAAAUCCACCUGCUUAACAGAUGGGCCGCGGAGGAUACUAUAAGACUAGGAGGCAGGAGAGGCAAGCGGUACUCAGUGGGUAGGGGUAAAAUCCGUUGAUCCAUUGAAGACCACCAGUGGCGAAGGCGGCUUGCCAGAAUGCGCUCGACGGUGAGGGAUGAAAGCUGGGGGAGCAAACCGGAUUAGAUACCCGAGUAGUCC
RNAcentral lists this ribosomal RNA (269 nucleotides) under uncultured archaeon. RNAcentral's name for it is "partial 16S ribosomal RNA". It matches the Rfam family "Archaeal small subunit ribosomal RNA", at positions 477 to 747 of the family's 1478-position model. The record is from RNAcentral.